GACGAACGCUGGCGGCGUGCUUAACACAUGCAAGUCGAACGGAAAGGCCCUGCUUUUGUGGGGUGCUCGAGUGGCGAACGGGUGAGUAACACGUGAGUAACCUGCCCUUGACUUUGGGAUAACUUCAGGAAACUGGGGCUAAUACCGGAUAGGAGCUCCUGCUGCAUGGUGGGGGUUGGAAAGAUUCGGCGGUUGGGGAUGGAAUCGCGGCUUAUCAGCUUGUUGGUGGGGUAGUGGCUUACCAAGGCUUUGACGGGUAGCCGGCCUGAGAGGGUGACCGGCCACAUUGGGACUGAGAUACGGCCCAGACUCCUACGGGAGGCAGCAGUGGGGAAUAUUGCACAAUGGGCGGAAGCCUGAUGCAGCAACGCCGCGUGCGGGAUGACGGCCUUCGGGUUGUAAACCGCUUUCGCCUGUGACGAAGCGUGAGUGACGGUAAUGGGUAAAGAAGCACCGGCUAACUACGUG
This 468-nucleotide ribosomal RNA is filed under the name uncultured bacterium. Its description in RNAcentral is "partial 16S ribosomal RNA". It matches the Rfam family "Bacterial small subunit ribosomal RNA", at positions 28 to 507 of the family's 1533-position model. The record is from RNAcentral.